This is a long non-coding RNA of Cervus elaphus (red deer), 555 nucleotides long. RefSeq lists it as uncharacterized. The record is from RefSeq and is a predicted model, not a curated record. The transcript is spliced from 4 exons. Lineage: Eukaryota; Metazoa; Chordata; Mammalia; Artiodactyla; Cervidae.
UCGAGGAGCCGCUGUGGAGGACGCGAGUUACGCUUUGCGGGGGAUUUUGCCUCGUCUCCGUUACGAGUUGUUGACUGAGCGCGGCGCUGUGGUUUUUAACUUGCUUACCUUGUGGUCUUGGAAAACCUGAGGGAGGUUUUUAUGCGGCCACCCUCUCAGUGAGCUCCCCUUUCCACGCCGUCCGUCUGCCUCGGCCGGCGACGCGCCAAAGGACAACUGUUCUCUUGAAAGGAGCCUGAAAAAGCCAACCGACAAUCCUCAGACUGAUGUGUCCAGGCCUGAAUUCUUGCAAUGGAAUGCUGGUUGGAAAUAAAAUGCACCACUUCCUGCUUGACCUAUAACAAUCCCCCAAGUGUGCUCUUCGUACAUUUUCUUCAUCCGCUGAUUGGAAAGGACCCUAGAGACCAAAGAGAAACAAGAACUUUAAGACAGAAGAAGCUUGGAACAGAGCCUGCUGCCACUCCUUUGCCACCCCAUGAGAUGUAAGCAAGAAAUAACAUUUAUUUUGGAGACUCAGGAGAUGCGGGUUCAGUCCCUGGGUUGGAAAGAUCCCCU